UAGGGAAUCUUCGGCAAUGGACGAAAGUCUGACCGAGCAACGCCGCGUGAGUGAAGAAGGUUUUCGGAUCGUAAAACUCUGUUGGUAGAGAAGAACGUUGGUGAGAGAGGAAAGCUCAUCAAGUGACGGUAACUACCCAGAAAGGGACGGCUAACUACGUGCCAG
Molecule: ribosomal RNA, 165 nt
Filed under: uncultured bacterium
Lineage: Bacteria
Description: partial 16S rRNA
Rfam family: Bacterial small subunit ribosomal RNA
Source: RNAcentral